GCAAAGGAUUUCUCACGUGACACGGGGUUCCUUCAUCAGCCAGCUUCAUUCCCCCACCCCAACACUCUGAGGGAUAUUUUUUAUAACUGCAAUGGCCAGAUCAAAAACAUGCAGUUAUGUUUUGGAUAAAUAUUAUCAGACCACUCCUGGAAAGCUGUAUACGUCAACUUCCACCAGCACCAACAAGCUAUGAAAAGCGCUUUGCUCACCCCAGAUGAGACCCCCGAAGUUCGGAGAGAUCACACCCAGGGUCACAUAGCUGGAGCUGGGAUCUAAACUAGUACCUGAUAACCAAAGAUGAAUAGCAGGUCAACCGUUCCUUAGAGGUAAGGAAACCACCGUCAUUUUGUUUCAGAACAUAGAUGCUGCGAAUAUAUACAUCCACUGAGCCCACUGUGCUUAA
Molecule: non-coding RNA, 403 nt
Organism: Manis javanica (Malayan pangolin)
Lineage: Eukaryota; Metazoa; Chordata; Mammalia; Pholidota; Manidae
Source: RefSeq, a predicted model, not a curated record